UAAGCGGCUAAGCGUACACGGUGGAUGCCCUGGCAGUCAGAGGCGAUGAAGGACGUGCUAAUCUGCGAUAAGCGUCGGUAAGGUGAUAUGAACCGUUAUAACCGGCGAUUUCCGAAUGGGGAAACCCAGUGUGAUUCGUCACACUAUCAUUAACUGAAUCCAUAGGUUAAUGAGGCGAACCGGGGGAACUGAAACAUCUAAGUACCCCGAGGAAAAGAAAUCAACCGAGAUUCCCCCAGUAGCGGCGAGCGAACGGGGAGCAGCCCAGAGCCUGAAUCAGUGUGUGUGUUAGUGGAAGCGUCUGGAAAGGCGCGCGAUACAGGGUGACAGCCCCGUACACAAAAAUGCACAUGCUGUGAGCUCGAUGAGUAGGGCGGGACACGUGGUAUCCUGUCUGAAUAUGGGGGGACCAUCCUCCAAGGCUAAAUACUCCUGACUGACCGAUAGUGAACCAGUACCGUGAGGGAAAGGCGAAAAGAACCCCGGCGAGGGGAGUGAAAAAGAACCUGAAACCGUGUACGUACAAGCAGUGGGAGCACAGAGCAAUCUGUGUGACUGCGUACCUUUUGUAUAAUGGGUCAGCGACUUAUAUUCUGUAGCAAGGUUAACCGAAUAGGGGAGCCGAAGGGAAACCGAGUCUUAACUGGGCGUUAAGUUGCAGGGUAUAGACCCGAAACCCGGUGAUCUAGCCAUGGGCAGGUUGAAGGUUGGGUAACACUAACUGGAGGACCGAACCGACUAAUGUUGAAAAAUUAGCGGAUGACUUGUGGCUGGGGGUGAAAGGCCAAUCAAACCGGGAGAUAGCUGGUUCUCCCCGAAAGCUAUUUAGGUAGCGCCUCGUGAAUUCAUCUCCGGGGGUAGAGCACUGUUUCGGCAAGGGGGUCAUCCCGACUUACCAACCCGAUGCAAACUGCGAAUACCGGAGAAUGUUAUCACGGGAGACACACGGCGGGUGCUAACGUCCGUCGUGAAGAGGGAAACAACCCAGACCGCCAGCUAAGGUCCCAAAGUCAUGGUUAAGUGGGAAACGAUGUGGGAAGGCCCAGACAGCCAGGAUGUUGGCUUAGAAGCAGCCAUCAUUUAAAGAAAGCGUAAUAGCUCACUGGUCGAGUCGGCCUGCGCGGAAGAUGUAACGGGGCUAAACCAUGCACCGAAGCUGCGGCAGCGACGCUUAUGCGUUGUUGGGUAGGGGAGCGUUCUGUAAGCCUGCGAAGGUGUGCUGUGAGGCAUGCUGGAGGUAUCAGAAGUGCGAAUGCUGACAUAAGUAACGAUAAAGCGGGUGAAAAGCCCGCUCGCCGGAAGACCAAGGGUUCCUGUCCAACGUUAAUCGGGGCAGGGUGAGUCGACCCCUAAGGCGAGGCCGAAAGGCGUAGUCGAUGGGAAACAGGUUAAUAUUCCUGUACUUGGUGUUACUGCGAAGGGGGGACGGAGAAGGCUAUGUUGGCCGGGCGACGGUUGUCCCGGUUUAAGCGUGUAGGCUGGUUUUCCAGGCAAAUCCGGAAAAUCAAGGCUGAGGCGUGAUGACGAGGCACUACGGUGCUGAAGCAACAAAUGCCCUGCUUCCAGGAAAAGCCUCUAAGCAUCAGGUAACAUCAAAUCGUACCCCAAACCGACACAGGUGGUCAGGUAGAGAAUACCAAGGCGCUUGAGAGAACUCGGGUGAAGGAACUAGGCAAAAUGGUGCCGUAACUUCGGGAGAAGGCACGCUGAUAUGUAGGUGAAGUCCCUCGCGGAUGGAGCUGAAAUCAGUCGAAGAUACCAGCUGGCUGCAACUGUUUAUUAAAAACACAGCACUGUGCAAACACGAAAGUGGACGUAUACGGUGUGACGCCUGCCCGGUGCCGGAAGGUUAAUUGAUGGGGUCAGCGCAAGCGAAGCUCUUGAUCGAAGCCCCGGUAAACGGCGGCCGUAACUAUAACGGUCCUAAGGUAGCGAAAUUCCUUGUCGGGUAAGUUCCGACCUGCACGAAUGGCGUAAUGAUGGCCAGGCUGUCUCCACCCGAGACUCAGUGAAAUUGAACUCGCUGUGAAGAUGCAGUGUACCCGCGGCAAGACGGAAAGACCCCGUGAACCUUUACUAUAGCUUGACACUGAACAUUGAGCCUUGAUGUGUAGGAUAGGUGGGAGGCUUUGAAGUGUGGACGCCAGUCUGCAUGGAGCCGACCUUGAAAUACCACCCUUUAAUGUUUGAUGUUCUAACGUGGACCCGUAAUCCGGGUUGCGGACAGUGUCUGGUGGGUAGUUUGACUGGGGCGGUCUCCUCCUAAAGAGUAACGGAGGAGCACGAAGGUUGGCUAAUCCUGGUCGGACAUCAGGAGGUUAGUGCAAUGGCAUAAGCCAGCUUGACUGCGAGCGUGACGGCGCGAGCAGGUGCGAAAGCAGGUCAUAGUGAUCCGGUGGUUCUGAAUGGAAGGGCCAUCGCUCAACGGAUAAAAGGUACUCCGGGGAUAACAGGCUGAUACCGCCCAAGAGUUCAUAUCGACGGCGGUGUUUGGCACCUCGAUGUCGGCUCAUCACAUCCUGGGGCUGAAGUAGGUCCCAAGGGUAUGGCUGUUCGCCAUUUAAAGUGGUACGCGAGCUGGGUUUAGAACGUCGUGAGACAGUUCGGUCCCUAUCUGCCGUGGGCGCUGGAGAAUUGAGGGGGGCUGCUCCUAGUACGAGAGGACCGGAGUGGACGCAUCACUGGUGUUCGGGUUGUCAUGCCAAUGGCACUGCCCGGUAGCUAAAUGCGGAAGAGAUAAGUGCUGAAAGCAUCUAAGCACGAAACUUGCCCCGAGAUGAGUUCUCCCUGACUCCUUGAGAGUCCUGAAGGAACGUUGAAGACGACGACGUUGAUAGGCCGGGUGUGUAAGCGCAGCGAUGCGUUGAGCUAACCGGUACUAAUGAACCGUGAGGCUUAACCU
RNAcentral lists this ribosomal RNA (2902 nucleotides) under Escherichia coli DEC13A. RNAcentral describes it as "bacterial LSU rRNA". It matches the Rfam family "Bacterial large subunit ribosomal RNA". The record is from RNAcentral. Lineage: Bacteria; Pseudomonadati; Pseudomonadota; Gammaproteobacteria; Enterobacterales; Enterobacteriaceae.